AUAAAAAUGGGAGGGCAGGUGGGGGAUGACAGAGGGUGUGAGCGUGAAGGUGAAGGACAGGGCGUAAGGCGAGUGGAGAGGGUUCGUUAAGGAACAUGGUAAAUCGCCUGGCUGGAGCUGGGAACUGCAUGGGAGACUGGGGGUGGUAGAAUAGGGGAGAGGGAAGUAGAAUUCCAUGUGUAGCGCUGAAAUGCGUAGAGAUCUGGAGGAAUACCGAUGGAGAAGGCAGCUUCCUGGCAUAAUAUUGACACUGAGAUUCGAAAGCGUGGGUAGCAAACAGGAUUAGAUACCCCUGUAGUC
RNAcentral lists this ribosomal RNA (300 nucleotides) under uncultured Flavobacterium sp. RNAcentral describes it as "bacterial SSU rRNA". The stretch from base 57 to 300 matches the Rfam family "Bacterial small subunit ribosomal RNA", at positions 553 to 795 of the family's 1533-position model. Lineage: Bacteria; Pseudomonadati; Bacteroidota; Flavobacteriia; Flavobacteriales; Flavobacteriaceae. The record is from RNAcentral.